UCCUAAUAUAGCUCAGUUGGUUAGAGCAUGCUGCUGGUAAGGCCAAGGUUGCAGGUUCGAUCCCCGUAUGGGAC
Non-coding RNA from Podarcis lilfordi (Lilford's wall lizard), 74 nucleotides. NCBI's taxonomy places the organism in Eukaryota, Metazoa, Chordata, Lepidosauria, Squamata, Lacertidae. The record is from the annotation of a GenBank genome assembly.